Non-coding RNA from Amylocystis lapponica, 92 nucleotides. The record is from the annotation of a GenBank genome assembly. Lineage: Eukaryota; Fungi; Basidiomycota; Agaricomycetes; Polyporales; Postiaceae.
GCCGCGUUGGCGUAGUGGUAGCGCGUCCCACUUGUACCUACACUGUACCAGGUGUUAUGGGAAGGUCACUCGUUCAAACCGGGUACGUGGCA